RNAcentral lists this ribosomal RNA (666 nucleotides) under Triticum aestivum (bread wheat). Its description in RNAcentral is "partial small subunit ribosomal RNA". Lineage: Eukaryota; Viridiplantae; Streptophyta; Magnoliopsida; Poales; Poaceae. The record is from RNAcentral.
AUGUUUCCUUUAGUUGCUGUCCGAAAAUUAGUGAGAGAUGUUUCAGACCACAAUCCCCUCUUACUAUCAUCAUAUCCUUUAAAGAAAACGCCUCCUUGCCAGUGCGAGUUCAGAUUUGAAUUGAGCUGGCUAAAAAAUGAAGAGUUUUACGCUAAGGCCGAAAUAAUCUGGAAGCAGCCUGUGUAUUCAGGGGAUCCUAUUGACAUUAUAAAUAUCAAACUUAAACGCAUCAAAAAAUAUUUCAAAGGCUGGGGAUCGCAUACUUUUGGGCAUGCAAGAAAAAGAAAGAAAUGGAUCAAGAAGGAGUUGGAAAAGAUCGAAAGUAAAGAGGAAGAUGGCCCCCUUGAUCCAGGGACAUACGAGAGAAGAACCUUGUUGUGUGAGGAGCUCAACGAGAUCUUAGCAGACGAGGAGCUGUUCUGGCUGCAGCAGUCUAACGAAAGAUGGUUACUAAAAGGAGACCAAAACAUUGCCUACUUCCACCGUGUGGCCAAUGGCAGGAAGAGGAAAAAUACUAUCCACUCUCUGACUAGUGGGGAGACUGUUAUAGAGGGGACCAAAAACCUUCUUGACCAUGCCACAAAUUUCUACAAAGACCUAUUUGGACCUGCAGAGGGAAAUCUGUUUCAUUUGUCCCCUGAUACUUGGUCGAGUGAUGAGAAACUU